AGGAAACGAAACAGAGAAGAAACAGGGGAGAAAGAAAGAAAGAAAAGAAAAAGGGAAUAUAAGAUUUUAAAGGUUCCAAGUUAAUUUGGUAAGUCAAUUUAGCCCCUUUUUCUUAUGAUUUUUGAGUUUUUUGGAAUCUUAGAGAUAAAUGGUACUUGUUUUAAGUAGAAAUUUUGAAAGUCAUUAGAUUUCUAAGUUUGGUUCAUGUUGAAUAAAAUGAUGGAAUUGGGGGUUUAUUUGAUAGAAAUUUUGAUUGGAAUUGAAUAAAGGAUUGAAUCGUAAACUAAGCUAUAAGUUUUGAGUUUUAGGGAUUAAAUGGAAAUAAAUUCGAAAUUAUGAAAAUAUGCUGGAAAUUUAAUAGUUAAGUAUGAGUUUGGACAAAAUUUGAAUAGAAAUAAAGUAUGAAUUAAGAUAGAAAAGUAAGAGAAUUUAGUUAGGAUUAAAUUGAAAUUAAAGUAAAUCAACAUUUUGCACUAAAACUAUUUUAGACAGCAACAGUAGUCUAACUUUGAAAAAUCAUAACAAAUUAUAGAAAUCGAAUUAGAAGAUGAAUAAAAUAUUAAAUUAAAGCUUAUUGAGUCUAGUUUCUUAUAGAAGAAACGAUAUAAGCAAUUGAAUUGUAAAUUAUGAGAUAUAACGAAUUUUGUGAGACAAGGUCAGAAUGAAUUCGGGUUCCCCUGUUCUGACUUUGGAAAAUCACCAAAAAUUGAAGAAAAAUAAUUAGAGGCUUAAAGUUAUAUUUUUAGAAUCCCUAAUGAGUCUAUUUUCUGGAGAAAUCAACGGGAAUAUUAUCCGAGUUCUGUACUGUGAGUUAAUUAAUUUUUAGUGAAGAAGGGACGAAACUGUCAGACAGCAGAAUAGGAGUGAAUUUAAAGAAUAAACUGUACUUAAUGGCUAAACCAAAAAUUCUGAAAAUUUUAUUGUAAGAAGAUUUGUGAGUCUAGUUUCAGGAAAAAUUAGCGGAUCUUAAUUUAGAAUUCUGUAACUCAAGAUAUGAAUUAGUAAUGUAUUAAUGAUUAUGAAUUGUAUUAAUUUCGUAGUCAAUGUGGUACCGGAAAUCUCGGCUAAGAAAGGACAAGACAAAGUCAACGGGAGUUAGCUCGAAAAUUACGGUUUGUAUUUCUAUAAUCUGAACCUAGUUAUUAAUUGUUAUAUUUUUUUUAUUCAAUGCAUUUAAUAAAUGUUGAAGUGAGAAUUAUUGUGUUUAUAAUGGAAAUGGAUUAAUUUGGUAUGUGAUGAAUAUAUAUUGAUUGAAUUAAAUUGAAUUAUAUAUUAUAAAUAUAUAUGUGUGUGUGUGUGUGUGUGUGUGUGUGUGUGAAUGAGAUAUUAUGCAAUUAUGAUAAUUGAAUUUUGGAUAAAUAUUAUGAUAAAUAAUUAAGAUGAGAAUUAUUUGUAUUGUGUCUUUAUAAUUGAAAUGAAUUGAUUUAGUGUGUGAUAAAUUUAUAUUGAAUUGAUUUAUGAAUAUCUGUUUUAUUGAAUUUAUAUUGAUUGAAAUUAUUUUGAUUGAAUUUAUAUUGAUUAAAUUAUAUAAUAUAUAUGAUUUAUGUAGAAAUUUGAAUAUUGAAUGAAUAUUAUAUUGAAAAAUAUAUUGAUUAGAAAUAUGAGGAAAUUGAUAUGAAUAUAUGAGAUUGUGAUAUUUGAAUAUUUGAUAUUGAAAAAUGAAUUGAAUUGUAUUGAAUUAUGAAUUAAUGUGAAUAAUUGAAAUAUAUUGUUGAAUUGAAUGAAAUUGUAUGAAUUGUGAAAAUGGGUAAAUAUAUGUAAUUAUUUGAAUGAGAUAUUGAUGAAAGAAUUAUUAAAUUGAGAAAGUGAAUGAAAUACCCUAUUAACUAGUCGGGCUAAGUCGGAUAUAAUUGGCAUGCCAUAAGAUCUGAAAGUGUACGGGAUUUGCCGGCUUUACCAAUUAGGCACUUUAUGUGUCGUAUUUCAGGCACCUCGUGUGUCGUAUCAGGCACCUCGUGUGUCGUUUUAGGCACUUUAUGUGUCGUAUACUGAUCAGGUACUAUGUACCGUUUUAGGCACAAUGUGCCGUACUGGUGUGUUUGGGUUGGAAUCCGUGUAUCCGUCAAAGUCCGGGUUGUUAAUAGGGGUAAAUAAGUGAAAGAUAAAUCGAAUAAAUUUGAUUGAUCAAGCUAUUGAAAUGAAAAGAAAAAUUGAAUUGAGAAUUGAAAAUUUAGAUAUGAAAUUGAAAAUAUGAACCAAAGGUUCAUGAAAUGAUUGGAGUUCGAAUUGAUGAUAUAUGAUGCCACUUGAUGAAUUGAAAUGUGAUUUGAGAUAUAUGAAUCGCAUGUAUAUACUGAAAGCUAUCAGGGAUAGUAAGUUGAUAUGAUAUAAAUGAAAUUGACUGUUAUUGAAAUGAAUUAAAAUGGAAUAUGAUUGAUAAGUGUAUAGUUGAAUAUAGUUUAAUGAUAUUGAAUUGUGAGUAAAUUAAGGGAAGCUAUACCGAGUAGUAAGUGAAAGAAUGGAGUAAAUAAUAAUGGAUUUAGUUAAGAAUUGAACAAUUAUGUUAUUGUGUUUAUUAUAUGAUUUGUAUAAAAUUUAUAUGGUAAGUAGUUGAAAUUUAUCUAUGAAUAAAUAAUUGAAUAAUUGUAAUUGUUAUUAUGAUCUUAAGUAUUUGUUAUAUUAUUAAUUGUUCGGAUUAUAGAAAUACCACUGAGUAUACCAUACUCAGCGUACGGUUUGUUAUCGUGCGCAGGUUAAGUAAAGAUAGUACGUUGAAUCAGCAUCCUAAGACGAUCCCAAAUUCAUUAAGGUAAAGUAUGUUGAGUAUUGAUAAUGUCAUGUACCUAGGACGUUUUAUGAGAGUCAUUUAGGUUACAGAAGUAUUGAUGAAAUGAGUAAAUUAUGGUUGGCAACGGUAUGUAGUAUGAAUUUUGAAAUUUACUAAGAAUUCGUAGUGAUUCUAAAUUAGUCCCGAAUUGAAUUUACUGUUCAUAUUGGACCGCGAGGGCCCAUUAAAGGGACGACAUCUUAAAACUAGGAUGUGUGUGAAUAUUUAUUUUAAUUAAUGACCGGAAUUGGACUGUACUGACUGGUAAUGUCUCGUAACCCUAUUCUGGUGACGGUAUAGGGUUAGGGGACGUUACAUUAACCCACUGGUUGCCUUGAUAUCUAUACAUGUUACAAAAAAAGGUGUCAAACUCACACUAGGCUUGAAGACUCUAGCUUAGUCCCUCUUCACUUCGGGCAACAGUUUAGAUUACCUGCAAUCAAAAAAGAGAAUCAUGGUAAGUUCAUAAGAACUUAGUGAAUUCAAAAAAAUAAUAAUAAGUUACUUUCCUUUUUGUUGAUUAGCUUAAGAGUAUGCCACGGGUCACAUUUAGACAAAACUUGCGUAUUCAUACGCUGUACAUGGAAAUAAAGCAUGUAAAAACAAGAUUUUACAACAUAUAAUUGGGCUUGAAUUUCACAAUGGCACGGUACACAACGCAUGAGUAUUCCUUUCGUCAAUGAUCAUAAUGCUCAUUGUCUCUAUGUACAAACUUGUUGUGAGUAAACUUGGCAAAUGACCUAUUAGAUGGAUAGUUACAUUAUAGAUUAACUAGGCGAACAAUCCUGCGAACUCUCACAUGCAGAUUCAUAAAUGUGGAUUCAUAUAUGCGAAUUCAUAGAUACGAAUCCAUACGUGUGGAUUCAUAGAUGCAGAUUUAUACAUGCAGAAUUAUAUACGCGGAUUUAUACAUGCAAAUUUAUCGAUGUGGAUUUAUAGAUGCGAAUUCAUAGAUACGGAUUCAUAGAUGUGGAUUCAUAGAUACAAAAUGUCUCGAGGACUUUCAUAUGGCAAAGUCCUCCAUAUAGCUUUAACAUGAAAACUUGAGGACAAGUCCAACAGAUCAUCAUAGCUUGUGUAUGCCCAUGGCCAUGGGACUUGCAUACAUACAUGAGGCUUAAAGUCUUAGACUUCGUAGAGUCUCAUACUUGAAAAGAACCUUCGUAGGGUUUUCAUAUACUUGUACACAUAUAUCUCCGUACAGUCCAUUCGAACCUCCGCAAAGCUAAAUAACAUACAUCACUUCAACUCUUAUUAUCUACUUUACAUACCUCCUUAUUUCAUAAAUAUCAUGUAUUACCAAUUAAACAUAGUAUAAAAGUGAAAGUGGAAAAAAGAUGGAAAUAGUCAUCAUCUUUUCCAUUGCAUGACCGUCCUCCACUUUUCUUUGAAACCUUUGUAUAUUUGAUCACCUAUUUCAAGUAAGUCCCUAGCCAUUUUUCUUUGAUUUUUAUGGAAAUUGAAUCAUGGGAGCUUGGUUUAGCUAGCCUGUGUAUUAUUUUGUUCAACUUAUGAAAAUUUGAUAAGUUACCAUUGUUAAGAAAUUGAAGAAUAAUGCUUGAAAUUGAUAGAAAUUAAGUUUAGAUUAUGAAAAAGAAGUAAAUUGUAACGCUUAACAAGCUUGAUUGUUAGCAUUGUUACAUUAAAACCAAAUUGAAUAAAAGGAAAACAUGUUAUGAAAUUAUGCUAGGAAUAGAAAGUAUAGGGUCCCUAAUGAGUAAAUGUGAAAUCAAAUUUUAAUGUAAAGCUCUAUAUCGAAAAUUAUGUUUGUCCCGGGUUUAGCGACUAAAUUGAAAAAUAUACUUAACUUAUAUUUGAUUGUGAAUUGAAUGGAAAUUAAUAUUUUUGUAUGUUGUGUGACUGUACGUAGCUAACAUCGACGCUGAGCCUCUAAGAGGAAAAGAAAAGGCGAUAAUUGUUGACAAGUGACGCAAGACCCCGGUUUGUACUUUUAUGAUUUGGAAUCAAUUUAAUUGUUUGCAUAUACAUGUUAAUUGCACGAUUUAAUGUUGAG
Molecule: long non-coding RNA, 4781 nt
Filed under: Gossypium barbadense (sea-island cotton)
Lineage: Eukaryota; Viridiplantae; Streptophyta; Magnoliopsida; Malvales; Malvaceae
Description: long non-coding RNA (GBAR_LNC001495)
Source: RNAcentral